Molecule: ribosomal RNA, 119 nt
Filed under: Lepisosteus oculatus (spotted gar)
Lineage: Eukaryota; Metazoa; Chordata; Actinopteri; Semionotiformes; Lepisosteidae
Source: RNAcentral
CACAGCAGCCAUAUCACCCUGUAACUCACAAUGGGCAGCCCACUGAAGCUCAGCAGGUGUGAGCCUGGUCAGUACCUGGAUGGGAGACCUCCUGGGAAAAACUAAGGUUGCUGCUGGAA